Molecule: ribosomal RNA, 253 nt
Filed under: uncultured bacterium
Lineage: Bacteria
Description: partial 16S ribosomal RNA
Rfam family: Bacterial small subunit ribosomal RNA
Source: RNAcentral
UACGAAGGGGGCAAGCGUUACUCGGAAUUAUUGGGCGUAAAGCGUGCGCAGGCGGUUUUAUAAGUUGAAAGUGAAAGCCUUUGGCUCAACCAAAGAAUUGCUUACAAAACUGUAAAACUAGAGUAUUAGAGAGGAUAGAAGAAUUCCUGAUGUAGGGGUGAAAUCCGUAGAUAUCAGGAGGAAUAUCGAAGGCGAAAGCAUCUAUCUGGCUAAAUACUGACGCUGUUGCACGAAAGCGUGGGGAGCAAACAGG